GGUCUCGGGGUGAAACGCCGUACU
This 24-nucleotide non-coding RNA is filed under the name Arabidopsis thaliana (thale cress). The record is from RNAcentral. Lineage: Eukaryota; Viridiplantae; Streptophyta; Magnoliopsida; Brassicales; Brassicaceae.